AGAGGUCCCGAGCGUUGUUCGGAUUCAUUGGGCGUAAAGGGUGUGUAGGAGGCUAGGUAAGUCAGGCGUGAAAUCUCACCGCUUAACGGUGAAACUGCGUUUGAUACUGCUUGGCUAGAGGGUCGGAGGGGGAAGCGGAAUUCUUGGUGUAGCAGUGAAAUGCGUAGAUAUCAAGAGGAACACCGGUGGCGUAGGCGGCUUCCUGGAAGAUUCCUGACUCUGAAACACGAAAGCUAGGGGAGCAAACGGGAUUAGAUACCCCGGUAGUCCUAGCCGUAAACGGUGUGCAUUAGGUGUGUGCGGAUUCGACCCCGUACGUGCCGUAGAUAACUCAUUAAAUGCACCGCCUGGGAAGUACGGUCGCAAGAUUA
RNAcentral lists this ribosomal RNA (371 nucleotides) under uncultured bacterium. RNAcentral's name for it is "bacterial SSU rRNA". It matches the Rfam family "Bacterial small subunit ribosomal RNA", at positions 527 to 896 of the family's 1533-position model. The record is from RNAcentral.